Salvia splendens (bonfire salvia) is the source of this 571-nucleotide long non-coding RNA. RefSeq lists it as uncharacterized. Lineage: Eukaryota; Viridiplantae; Streptophyta; Magnoliopsida; Lamiales; Lamiaceae. The transcript is spliced from 2 exons. The record is from RefSeq and is a predicted model, not a curated record.
AAAAAGAAUCGAUUAAAUCCAAAGGAGGUUGCACUUGCAUCGGAGGAGCCAUUUCCAGGUGAUGAUGAUCCACCCCCUGCAUCCAAAUAUAGUUGCUGAGAUGGGGAGUUUGGACAUUACAAGCCGUUGGGAGGGCUUGAGCUUGACUCUGGUCAACGGUUAAUCCUCCGCCGUUAAAUACUUGACAUAAGCACUGUGGUCGGGAGUGGGCCACGGUGUUCAGCUGCGUGCAGCAUGCCGCCGUCGGGGCAGCGGAGGAGUUGCCGUAGUUGAGGCACGGAGACAUGCUCACCACCACAUUCGUGCAAUCGUCGGAUUGCGCCGCCGCAAGGGCGACGAAUGCGACGACGAUAAUUGAAAUCAUUUGGAAUUGUAGCUUUGCCAUUUGGGGGAGAUGUGGCGUUUUUUAUUAGAAAUUUGAGUGUGUUGAUUUUGGGAUUUAUUCUAGUGGGCUUAGGAUUAUUAAGCCAAAAUGAAGACUUGGAGUUGGGAGUGGGGGUUGGUUUUGGGUUACCAAUUCUUUUCUUCCUACUCUUUGAAUUUUCUUUUCUAAUGUUUCGGAAUUUUGGAA